CCUCUCUGGAAAAACCUUUAAAUCCAAUAUGACAACAAAAUCAAACAAGAAUUAUGAACCUGACUUUAUCCAGUCCAUUUGCACACUUAAA
Molecule: long non-coding RNA, 91 nt
Organism: Sinocyclocheilus rhinocerous
Lineage: Eukaryota; Metazoa; Chordata; Actinopteri; Cypriniformes; Cyprinidae
Exons: 3
Source: RefSeq, a predicted model, not a curated record